GAUGAACGCUGGCGGCGUGCCUAAUACAUGCAAGUCGAACGCUGAAGGAGGAGCUUGCUCUUCUGGAUGAGUUGCGAACGGGUGAGUAACGCGUAGGUAACCUGCCUGGUAGCGGGGGAUAACUAUUGGAAACGAUAGCUAAUACCGCAUGACAACAGUUAUUACAUGAUAACUGUUUAAAAGGGGCAACUGCUCCACUACCAGAUGGACCUGCGUUGUAUUAGCUAGUUGGUGAGGUAACGGCUCACCAAGGCGACGAUACAUAGCCGACCUGAGAGGGGGAGCGGCCACACUGGGACUGAGACACGGCCCAGACGCCUACGGGAGGCAGCAGUAGGGAAUCUUCAGCAAGAGACGGAAGUCUGACCGAGCAACGCCGCGUGAGUGAAGAAGGUUUUCGGAUCGGAAAGCUCGGUUGUAAGAGAAGAACGAGUGUGAGAGUGGAAAGUUCACACUGUGACGGUAUCUGACCAGAAAGGGACGGCUAACUACGUG
RNAcentral lists this ribosomal RNA (495 nucleotides) under uncultured bacterium. RNAcentral's name for it is "partial 16S ribosomal RNA". It matches the Rfam family "Bacterial small subunit ribosomal RNA", at positions 28 to 507 of the family's 1533-position model. The record is from RNAcentral.